Non-coding RNA from Paramuricea clavata, 185 nucleotides. The record is from the annotation of a GenBank genome assembly. Lineage: Eukaryota; Metazoa; Cnidaria; Anthozoa; Malacalcyonacea; Plexauridae.
AGCUCGUGAUUGGACAAGAAAAAGUCUUUAUUUUGCCAAUGUAACGUCAGAAAUUUAGCUCUCAUUAUAUUUAUAACUUUGGCAACUUUGGUAACCAAAGUUGCCAAAGUUAUAAAUAUAAUGAGAGCUAAAUUUCUGACGUUACAUUGGCAAAAUAAAGACUUUUUCUUGUCCAAUCACGAGCU